Molecule: non-coding RNA, 98 nt
Organism: Acanthosepion pharaonis
Lineage: Eukaryota; Metazoa; Mollusca; Cephalopoda; Sepiida; Sepiidae
Source: the annotation of a GenBank genome assembly
GACAUGCACCAGAUCUCAUACAAUCAGUGAAGUUAAGUAAUGUUGAACCUGGUCAGUAUCUAGAUGGGUGACCACUUGGAAAUACCAGAUGCUGUAGG